AACGAACGCUGGCGGCGCGUCUUAAACAUGCAAGUCGAACGGCAGGAAGGGGCUUGCCCCUUCUGAGAGUGGCGGACUGGUGAGUAACACGUGGGUGACAUACCUUUUAGUUGGGGAUAGCUAUUAGAAAUAGUAGGUAAUACCGAAUGUGACCGUACCUGUUAGAGGGGUACGAGGAAAGGAGCUAAGGCUUCGCUAAAAGAAUGGCUCGCGGCCCAUUAUGCUCGUUGGUGAGGUAACGGCCCACCAAGGCGAUGAUGGGUAUCCGGCCUGAGAGGGUGAACGGACACAUUGGGACUGAGAUACGACCCAGACUUCUACGGGAGGCAGCAGUUAAGAAUAUUCCGCAAAGGACGAAAGUCUGACGGAGCGACGCCGCGUGGAUGAAGAAUGCCGAAAGGUUGUAAAAUCCUUUUAAGCCUGAUGAAUAAGCACAGUAGGGAAUGAUUGUGCGGUGACCGUAGGGCUUGAAUAAGCACCGGCUAAUUACGUG
This 493-nucleotide ribosomal RNA is filed under the name uncultured bacterium. RNAcentral describes it as "partial 16S ribosomal RNA". It matches the Rfam family "Bacterial small subunit ribosomal RNA", at positions 29 to 507 of the family's 1533-position model. The record is from RNAcentral.